This 253-nucleotide ribosomal RNA is filed under the name uncultured bacterium. RNAcentral describes it as "partial 16S ribosomal RNA". It matches the Rfam family "Bacterial small subunit ribosomal RNA", at positions 524 to 776 of the family's 1533-position model. The record is from RNAcentral.
UACGUAGGGGGCAAGCGUUGUCCGGAAUCAUUGGGCGUAAAGCGCGUGUAGGCGGUCCGGUAAGUCCGCUGUGAAAGUCGGGGGCUCAACCCUGGAAAGCCGGUGGAUACUGUCGGACUAGAGUGCGGAAGAGGCGAGUGGAAUUCCCGGUGUAGCGGUGAAAUGCGCAGAUAUCGGGAGGAACACCAAUUGCGAAGGCAGCUCGCUGGGACGUGACUGACGCUGAGACGCGAAAGCGUGGGGAGCAAACAGG